AGCUCAGUGGGUAGAGUGCUUGCCUUACAUGCAAAAGGCCCUGGGUUUGAUCCCCAG
Molecule: transfer RNA, 57 nt
Filed under: Ictidomys tridecemlineatus (thirteen-lined ground squirrel)
Lineage: Eukaryota; Metazoa; Chordata; Mammalia; Rodentia; Sciuridae
Description: Spermophilus tridecemlineatus (thirteen-lined ground squirrel) tRNA
Rfam family: tRNA
About the family: Transfer RNA (tRNA) molecules are approximately 80 nucleotides in length.
Source: Rfam by way of RNAcentral